GACGAACGCUGGCGGCGUGCUUAACCCAUGCAAGUCGAACGGAAAGGCCCUGCUUUUGUGGGGUGCUCGAGUGGCGAACGGGUGAGUCACACGUGAGUAACCUGCCCUUGACUUUGGGCUAACUUCAGGCAACUUGGUCUACUACCGGAUAGGAUCUCCUGCUGCAUGGUGGGGGUUGGAAAGAUUCGCCGGCUGGGGGUGUACUCGCGUCUUAUCACCUUGUUUUUGGGUUGGUGGCUUACCAAGGCUUUGACGGGUAGCCGGCCUGAGAGGGUGACCGGCCUCAUUGGGACUGAGAUACGGCCCAGACUCCUACGGGAGGCAGCAGUGGGGAAUAUUGCACCAUGGGCGGAAGCCUGACGCAGCAACGCCGCGUGCGGGAUGACGGCCUUCGGGUUGUAACCCGCUUUCGCCUGUGACGAAGCGUGAGUGACGGUAAUGGGUAAAGAAGCACCGGCUAACUACGUG
This 468-nucleotide ribosomal RNA is filed under the name uncultured bacterium. RNAcentral's name for it is "partial 16S ribosomal RNA". It matches the Rfam family "Bacterial small subunit ribosomal RNA", at positions 28 to 507 of the family's 1533-position model. The record is from RNAcentral.